UACGUAGGGUGCAAGCGUUAAUCGGAAUUACUGGGCGUAAAGCGUGCGCAGGCGGCGGCUCAAGUCAGGUGUGAAAUCCCCGGGCUUAACCUGGGAAUUGCGCUUGAAACUAGGUCGCUAGAGUGUGGCAGAGGGGGGUGGAAUUCCACGUGUAGCAGUGAAAUGCGUAGAGAUGUGGAGGAACACCGAUGGCGAAGGCAGCCCCCUGGGUCAACACUGACGCUCAUGCACGAAAGCGUGGGGAGCAAACAGG
This 253-nucleotide ribosomal RNA is filed under the name uncultured bacterium. Its description in RNAcentral is "partial 16S ribosomal RNA". It matches the Rfam family "Bacterial small subunit ribosomal RNA", at positions 524 to 776 of the family's 1533-position model. The record is from RNAcentral.